GGCUUGUUGGUCUAGGGGUAUGAUACCCGCUUAGGGUGCGGGUGGUCCCGGGUUCAAAUCCCGGACAAGCCC
This is a transfer RNA of Folsomia candida, 72 nucleotides long. It matches the Rfam family "tRNA". Rfam says of the family: Transfer RNA (tRNA) molecules are approximately 80 nucleotides in length. The record is from Rfam. NCBI's taxonomy places the organism in Eukaryota, Metazoa, Arthropoda, Collembola, Entomobryomorpha, Isotomidae.